RNAcentral lists this ribosomal RNA (472 nucleotides) under uncultured bacterium. RNAcentral's name for it is "bacterial SSU rRNA". It matches the Rfam family "Bacterial small subunit ribosomal RNA", at positions 29 to 528 of the family's 1533-position model. The record is from RNAcentral.
AACGAACGCUGGCGGUAUGCUUAAUCCAUGCAAGUCGAACGGAAUAUUUUGAAGCUUGCUUUGAAAUAUUUUAGUGGCAAACGGGUGAGUAACACGUGGGAAUCUACCUAUCAGUACGGAAUAACUUUCGGAAACGAAUGCUAAUACCGUAUAUUCUCUAAGGAGGAAAGAUUUAUCGCUGAUAGAUGAGCCCGCGCAAGAUUAGGUAGUUGGUAGGGUAAAGGCCUACCAAGCCUACGAUCUUUAGCUGGUCUGAGAGGAUGAUCAGCCACACUGGGACUGAGACACGGCCCAGACUCCUACGGGGGGCAGCAGGAAGGAAUAUUGGACAAUGGGCGAAAGCCUGAUCCAGCAAUACCGCGUGAAUGAUGAAGGCCUUAGGGUUGUAAAGUUCUUUUAGUAGGGAAGAUAAUGACGGUACCUACAGAAAAAGCCCCGGNUAACUCCGUGCCAGCAGCCGCGGUAAAGUCUG